RNAcentral lists this ribosomal RNA (496 nucleotides) under uncultured bacterium. RNAcentral's name for it is "partial 16S ribosomal RNA". It matches the Rfam family "Bacterial small subunit ribosomal RNA", at positions 29 to 507 of the family's 1533-position model. The record is from RNAcentral.
AUGAACGCUGGCGGCGUGCCUAAUACAUGCAAGUCGAGCGAACGGACGAGAAGCUUGCUUCUCUGAUGUUAGCGGCGGACGGGUGAGUAACACGUGGAUAACCUACCUAUAAGACUGGGAUAACUUCGGGAAACCGUAGCUAAUACCGGAUAAUAUUUUGAACCGCAUGGUUCAAAAGUGAAAGACGGUCUUGCUGUCACUUAUAGAUGGAUCCGCGCUGCAUUAGCUAGUUGGUAAGGUAACGGCUUACCAAGGCAACGAUGCAUAGCCGACCUGAGAGGGUGAUCGGCCACACUGGAACUGAGACACGGUCCAGACUCCUACGGGAGGCAGCAGUAGGGAAUCUUCCGCAAUGGGCGAAAGCCUGACGGAGCAACGCCGCGUGAGUGAUGAAGGUCUUCGGAUCGUAAAACUCUGUUAUUAGGGAAGAACAUAUGUGUAAGUAACUGUGCACAUCUCGACGGUACCUAAUCAGAAAGCCACGGCUAACUACGUG